Molecule: ribosomal RNA, 253 nt
Filed under: uncultured bacterium
Lineage: Bacteria
Description: partial 16S ribosomal RNA
Rfam family: Bacterial small subunit ribosomal RNA
Source: RNAcentral
UACAGAGACUGCAAGCGUUAUUCGGAUUCACUGGGCGUAAAGGGUGCGCAGGCGGCCGAGUGUGUGAGGCGUGAAAGCCCGGGGCUUAACCCCGGGUCUGCAUUCGAUACGGGCAGGCUAGAGUUCGGUAGGGGAGAUCGGAAUUCCUGGUGUAGCGGUGAAAUGCGCAGAUAUCGGGAGGAACACCCGUAGCGAAGGCGGCACUCUGGGCCGGAACUGACGCUGAGGAGCGAAAGCGUGGGGAGCAAACAGG